This 191-nucleotide ribosomal RNA is filed under the name uncultured bacterium. RNAcentral describes it as "partial 16S ribosomal RNA". It matches the Rfam family "Bacterial small subunit ribosomal RNA", at positions 328 to 538 of the family's 1533-position model. The record is from RNAcentral.
ACGCUCGACACCUACGGGGGCAGCAGUGGGGAAUAUUGCACAAUGGGGGAAACCCUGAUGCAGCGACGCCGCGUGAAGGAAGAAGUAUUUCGGUAUGUAAACUUCUAUCAGCAGGGAAGAAACUGACGGUACCUGACUAAGAAGCACCGGCUAAAUACGUGCCAGCAGCNGAGUNUNGCGGCGNGNGAGNG